Small nuclear RNA from Molossus molossus (Pallas's mastiff bat), 107 nucleotides. The record is from RefSeq and is a predicted model, not a curated record. NCBI's taxonomy places the organism in Eukaryota, Metazoa, Chordata, Mammalia, Chiroptera, Molossidae.
GUGUUCACAUCGACCACACAUGCACUAAAAUAGAAACGAUAUGGAGAAGAUGAGCAUGACCACUGUGCAAGGAUGCCACGCAGAUUCAUGAAGCGUUCCAUAUUUUA